UGAAGAACCUUUAACUUAAAAAGCUUUAAAAGGCCGACAAUUGGUUUAUUCUCUAACAAAACACUCAAGAGUCCAUUUAGAGGAAGAGAUUAGAUUUAGAUAUAUAAAUCACUAUAUUAUAGCUUCAAAAAAACUUGGCUACAAGUCUACAGUCAUUGUUUCAUGUUUCUCUAGUUAAUUGACUCUCAGCUGGAAUCUUCAACACCAUAGCAGGUAAUUCCAUGCUAUCCUCCAACUUGGUCGAUUUAGAACCGUCAGUGAUUGGUAAUUCUUGAACUUUACCGUUCUCUGUUGCUAUUGAGUUCUUCUGAUCUUAACUUUUGCC
RNAcentral lists this long non-coding RNA (325 nucleotides) under Gossypium barbadense (sea-island cotton). RNAcentral describes it as "long non-coding RNA (GBAR_LNC021105)". Lineage: Eukaryota; Viridiplantae; Streptophyta; Magnoliopsida; Malvales; Malvaceae. The record is from RNAcentral.